UAAACACAGAAGUGACAUUGACAUGUCAUGUGUCCAGUAUCACUGGAUCUGGGUUCAUUGCUGAAUGAACGAUUAGAGGACGAGUCCCGCUUUUUGUUUUAGUUGUCUUGAUUGAGACACCGUGGUCAGCACCAAGAUCAGCGUUUGAUAUGGUGUCACACAUCCAGAAGAUCUGGUAUCAUGGUGUGGGUUGCAGUUUUAUACAAUUACAGAUAAAAUUUGGUUUCAUUAAAGGCACUUUGACAGCCCAGUGUUAUUUUAAUCAUAUCCUACAACCAGUGGUCCUACCUUUUCUGAACAUACACUUUGGUGCACUAUUCCAACAGAACAAUGCUCAUCCACACACUGUUGCUGUCUCAAGACACAGCUCUACCUGCGAUCUCCAGCCUUCGGACUACGUUACCCAGAAUGCAUCACUCAGUGACAUCACUUAUUCACCCAGGAAGUCAAUCACCCGAAUUCUGAACACCUGUCCAGAGCUCUACUCAUACCCCUCACUUCUCUCUACAAAGCUUUGUUCAAUUCUUCCAUGUUUACCUACCUAGUUUUUGUUUUUUCUCGAUUUUUGCCUUGCCCUUUUUGCUGCUCUAUCGUGUAUGACCCUUGGACUGUUUAUCCAGCCUGGUAUGUUUAUCCUCUCAGGCUAUCGUUUGUUUACUGGUGGUGAGCUUGCUUUUUUUGACUAUCCUUUGUCCUGUGGCUUCAUUUAAUAAAAGCUUUCAUUCACAU
This 729-nucleotide long non-coding RNA is filed under the name Astyanax mexicanus (Mexican tetra). RNAcentral's name for it is "lncRNA (ENSAMXG00005003872.1)". The record is from RNAcentral. Lineage: Eukaryota; Metazoa; Chordata; Actinopteri; Characiformes; Acestrorhamphidae.